Molecule: ribosomal RNA, 259 nt
Filed under: uncultured bacterium
Lineage: Bacteria
Description: partial 16S ribosomal RNA
Rfam family: Bacterial small subunit ribosomal RNA
Source: RNAcentral
GAUCCUGGCUCAGGAUGAACGCUAGCUACAGGCUUAACACAUGCAAGUCGAGGGGCAUCAGUUUGGUUUGCUUGCAAACCAAAGCUGGCGACCGGCGCACGGGUGAGUAACACGUAUCCAACCUACCUCAUACUCGGGGAUAGCCUUUCGAAAGAAAGAUUAAUAUCCGAUAGCAUAUAUUUUCCGCAUGGGUUUUAUAUUAAAGAAAUUCGGUAUGAGAUGGGGAUGCGUUCCAUUAGUUUGUUGGGGGGGUAACGGG